Pipistrellus kuhlii (Kuhl's pipistrelle) is the source of this 772-nucleotide long non-coding RNA. RefSeq lists it as uncharacterized. The transcript is spliced from 5 exons. Lineage: Eukaryota; Metazoa; Chordata; Mammalia; Chiroptera; Vespertilionidae. The record is from RefSeq and is a predicted model, not a curated record.
CACCUCUGAUUCUAAAGGAAUGAAAAUUGAUUGUAGUAGGCCCAUCUAAGCAAGAAUAUUUAUAAAUAGCCGAAUUAGCCCGUGUUUACUUGUGAUACCUACAUUAACUCAAAAGGAAACUUGGUUUAAAAAGUUCACCCUAAAACAAUUAAGGUAGCAUUAUUGGCUCAUUAAGAGAUAAGUUGGUGAAGGAGGGGUUUGUGUUAUUUUAGUACCUUUUAAGGUAGAAGAGGAGGGCUUCUGCCUUUAACUCACUAGCCAAUCAGGUACCGAGGCCCCUUCUUAAAGCAACUUCCUGUCUCUCCACUUUCUCUCUCUCCUGGAGGUGAAAGACUGGUUAAAAAUGGGACCCACUGGAGAAGACAGACCUGGGUCUUCAGCACCCUGUGUGCUAGCCCAGGAAUGCUAUUUGAAGCCUGUUACAUCUGCUGCAGACCCCCUAAACACGGGGACUUGGAUUUGGACAUUCUCAGCAGGAAUGGUUAUAGGCUGACAGGACCAUAAAGGUAGAGAUGAUGCCUGAUAGUUGAUAGAUCCUGUAGUUCAACCUUAUCCUAGAUACAAGCUGGAUUGAUCUGACAUCAGAGAAACGAAAUUUCAGGAGACCAAAACUAGAUCUGAGUUUCUUUAUAGAAACUUCUUUUCCAGCCUUGAAACUCUUGGAUGCUACAAAUCCUGGAAAAAAUAUAGAUGACAACAACAUUUUUCUUUUAUGUAUGAAGGUAUAGAUGGAAGCUGACUUCUCACCAAAAGUGGUUUAUAGAAUCAACUU